GCUGGUGUGGCUCAGUCGGUAGAGCAGCUGAUUCGUAAUCAGCAGGUCGGCGGUUCGAGUCCGCCCACCAGCUCCA
Molecule: transfer RNA, 76 nt
Filed under: Bacteroides sp.
Lineage: Bacteria; Pseudomonadati; Bacteroidota; Bacteroidia; Bacteroidales; Bacteroidaceae
Also listed under: 4 other names
Description: tRNA-Thr
Rfam family: tRNA
About the family: Transfer RNA (tRNA) molecules are approximately 80 nucleotides in length.
Source: RNAcentral